ACAAACUUGGUCAUUUAGAGGAAGUAAAAGUCGUAACAAGGUUUCCGUAGGUAAGUUAUAUCGGAAAAGUCUGUUGCUGUUACGUGGCCAUUGCUAACUUUAACUUAGGUGAACCUGCGGAAGGAUCAUUAUCGAGUUAGGGUCUUUUUGGCCCAACCUCCAACCCUUUGUCUACCUGACCACUGUUGCUUUGGCGAGCCUGUUUCUAGAAAUAGAGGCUGCCGGAGGCGAAUUACCCUCUGGAUCGUGCUCGUCAAUAGCCUUUAUUAAACUCUUUGCUAAAUGUGGAGUCUAAGCAAUACCUAAAAGCUAAAACUUUCAACAACGGAUCUCUUGGUUCUGGCAUCGAUGAAGAACGCAGC
Molecule: unclassified non-coding RNA, 362 nt
Filed under: uncultured fungus
Lineage: Eukaryota; Fungi
Description: partial contains small subunit ribosomal RNA, internal transcribed spacer 1, and 5.8S ribosomal RNA
Rfam family: Eukaryotic small subunit ribosomal RNA (bases 1-131)
Source: RNAcentral